UGAGCUAUGGUGUAACGGUAACACACCGCCCUUUGGAGGCGGUACUCCCGGUUCGAAUCCGGGUAGCUCAA
RNAcentral lists this transfer RNA (71 nucleotides) under Alistipes finegoldii. RNAcentral describes it as "tRNA-Gln". It matches the Rfam family "tRNA". From Rfam's summary of the family: Transfer RNA (tRNA) molecules are approximately 80 nucleotides in length. Their secondary structure includes four short double-helical elements and three loops (D, anti-codon, and T loops). The record is from RNAcentral. Lineage: Bacteria; Pseudomonadati; Bacteroidota; Bacteroidia; Bacteroidales; Rikenellaceae.